UACGUAGGGCGCAAGCGUUGUCCGGAAUUAUUGGGCGUAAAGAGCUCGUAGGCGGUUUGUCGCGUCUGCCGUGAAAGCCCGGGGCUCAACUCCGGAUCUGCGGUGGGUACGGGCAGACUAGAGUGAUGUAGGGGAGACUGGAAUUCCUGGUGUAGCGGUGAAAUGCGCAGAUAUCAGGAGGAACACCGAUGGCGAAGGCAGGUCUCUGGGCAGUAACUGACGCUGAGGAGCGAAAGCAUGGGGAGCGAACAGG
RNAcentral lists this ribosomal RNA (253 nucleotides) under uncultured bacterium. RNAcentral describes it as "partial 16S ribosomal RNA". It matches the Rfam family "Bacterial small subunit ribosomal RNA", at positions 524 to 776 of the family's 1533-position model. The record is from RNAcentral.